This 253-nucleotide ribosomal RNA is filed under the name uncultured bacterium. RNAcentral describes it as "partial 16S ribosomal RNA". It matches the Rfam family "Bacterial small subunit ribosomal RNA", at positions 524 to 776 of the family's 1533-position model. The record is from RNAcentral.
UACAGAGACUGCAAGCGUUAUUCGGAAUUACUGGGCGUAAAGGGCGCGUAGGCGGCCUGUUAAGUCGAACGUGAAAUCCCCGGGCUCAACCCGGGAACUGCGUCCGAUACUGGCAGGCUUGAAUCCGGGAGAGGGAUGCGGAAUUCCAGGUGUAGCGGUGAAAUGCGUAGAUAUCUGGAGGAACACCGGUGGCGAAGGCGGCAUCCUGGACCGGCAUUGACGCUGAGGCGCGAAAGCCAGGGGAGCAAACGGG